This is a non-coding RNA of Nelumbo nucifera (sacred lotus), 1000 nucleotides long. NCBI's taxonomy places the organism in Eukaryota, Viridiplantae, Streptophyta, Magnoliopsida, Proteales, Nelumbonaceae. The record is from RefSeq and is a predicted model, not a curated record.
UUCACAAUGUGAGAAUUCAGAAUUGGUUAUUUUCAUGAUUUCAAUCACUGUUCUUGUAACUUCUCUUUUUGUUGUAAAGUUAAAUACUCAACAUGGAUGUAAUGCAUUCAUUGAUACAUUCAGGUACGUAAUCUGGUAGAAGCAUCAAAGACUUAUGCUACUUAACAUAACAUACUUGACCAUGAUGUUAAAAAUGACACAGUGAGAAAGCCAGGGAGCCUUUCACGUAAUUUACGCAGAGUCAGACAGGGCCUCGACCUCAUCAGAGAAUUAUUUGGACAAUUCCUGGCAACUAAGAAAACCAAUGCUAGCAUCACCACAGGCACUGCCACACACAGGAUUCAUGAAAUCUAACCUUGAGUAGUUGGCUAUUUACACUGAAAUCUAUGAUGCUAGCAUUGCUUUUGUUCUGAAUCUACGUUUCUUUCUUGUCUAUUGGAGACGGGAGACCCUCAAUACUUCAUUAUUGUUGCAGACCACUCAGCAAGGAAGGAAAUGAAAAGGCAAUCAGCUUGGCGCUAGCACCAUACUUGCAAUUUGUCUGGCCAGCAGUUAACAUGAGAAAGAAUCUACAAGUUGUAUGAGUGACAUUCAAGUCUACAAACGGCCUACAUAUUGUUCAAUCUUUUUGCGAGCGCCAUUCUUGUUGCGUCAAAUCCUGGUUGAAGUGAUCUUCGGGCAUUGUUCCAGUUGAUAACAAACAUCCUCAAGUUAGACAGCAGAUGAUACUAAUCUUCAUUGUCCAAGACUAAAAGUACAAGGUGUUUGGGCAUUAAAUUGUUGGAAUUCUUCCCUUUCAUUGGUAUAGUUUGUUUGAACCAUUUCAAAAGAAAAUUAGUGUAGUUUGUUGACAAACGAGGAUGUCAGUUUUCAUCCAAAGGCAUGUUAACACCAGCUGCAGCAAGCAGCAUUAUGCCUUUCUGUAGAACGCAAGUAUUGUAUAUCUGGCGUGAACCAAUUUUAGCAAGUCAUUGUAACAGUUAUCUUGCUUUGAUCUUCC